CACGUAGGGGGCGAGCGUUGUCCGGAUUUAUUGGGCGUAAAGAGCUCGUAGGCGGUUUCGUUAGUCGGGUGUGAAAACCCCAGGCUCAACCUGGGGACGCCACCCGAUACUGCGAUGACUAGAGUCCGGUAGGGGAGUGUGGAAUUCCUGGUGUAGCGGUGAAAUGCGCAGAUAUCAGGAGGAACACCGGUGGCGAAGGCGGGACUCUGGGCCGAUACUGACGCUGAGGAGCGAAAGCGUGGGGAGCGAACAGG
RNAcentral lists this ribosomal RNA (254 nucleotides) under uncultured bacterium. RNAcentral's name for it is "partial 16S ribosomal RNA". It matches the Rfam family "Bacterial small subunit ribosomal RNA", at positions 524 to 776 of the family's 1533-position model. The record is from RNAcentral.